This 460-nucleotide ribosomal RNA is filed under the name uncultured bacterium. RNAcentral's name for it is "partial 16S ribosomal RNA". It matches the Rfam family "Bacterial small subunit ribosomal RNA", at positions 338 to 795 of the family's 1533-position model. The record is from RNAcentral.
CCUACGUGAGGCAGCAGUGAGGAAUAUUGGUCAAUGGGCGCGAGCCUGAACCAGCCAAGUAGCGUGAAGGAUGACUGCCCUACGGGUUGUAAACUUCUUUUGUCAAGGAAUAAAGUGAGGCACGUGUGCCUUUUUGUGUGUACUUUAUGAAUAAGGAUCGGCUAACUCCGUGCCAGCCGCCGCGGUAAUACGGAGGAUCCGAGCGUUAUCCGGAUUUAUUGGGUUUAAAGGGAGCGUAGAUGGGUUGUUAAGUCAGUUGUGAAAGUUUGCGGCUCAAACGUAAAAUUGCAAUUGAUACUGGCAGCCUUGAGUACAGUUGAGGUAGGCGGAAUGCGUGGUGUAGCGGUGAAAUGCUUAGAUAUCACGAAGAACUCCGAUUGCGAAGGCAGCUUACUAAACUGCCACUGACAUUGAUGCUCGAAAGUGUGGGUAUCAAACAGGAUUAGAUACCCCGGUAGUC